This 333-nucleotide ribosomal RNA is filed under the name uncultured bacterium. RNAcentral's name for it is "partial 16S ribosomal RNA". It matches the Rfam family "Bacterial small subunit ribosomal RNA", at positions 338 to 688 of the family's 1533-position model. The record is from RNAcentral.
CCUACGGGUGGCAGCAGUGGGGAAUAUUGGACAAUGGGGGAAACCCUGAUCCAGCGACGCCGCGUGAGUGAAGAAGUAUUUCGGUACGUAAAGCUCUAUCAGCAGGAAAGAAAAUGACGGUACCUGACUAAGAAGCCCCGGCUAACUACGUGCCAGCAGCCGCGGUAAUACGUAGGGGGCAAGCGUUAUCCGGAUUUACUGGGUGUAAAGGGAGCGUAGACGGCAGCGCAAGUCUGGAGUGAAAUGCCGGGGCCCAACCCCGGAAUUGCUCUGGAAACGGUGAAGCGGGAGUGCAGGAGAGGUAGGCGGAAGGCGGGGGGGAGCGGGGAAAGG